Molecule: ribosomal RNA, 405 nt
Filed under: uncultured Methylobacterium sp.
Lineage: Bacteria; Pseudomonadati; Pseudomonadota; Alphaproteobacteria; Hyphomicrobiales; Methylobacteriaceae
Description: bacterial SSU rRNA
Rfam family: Bacterial small subunit ribosomal RNA
Source: RNAcentral
UGGGGAAUAUUGGACAAUGGGGCAACCCGUGAUCCAGCCAUGCCGCGUGAGUGAUGACGGCCUUAGGGUUGUAAAGCUCUUUUCUCCGGGACGAUAAUGACGGUACCGGAGGAAUAAGCCCCGGCUAACUUCGUGCCAGCAGCCGCGGUAAUACGAAGGGGGCUAGCGUUGCUCGGAAUCACUGGGCGUAAAGGGCGCGUAGGCGGCUGAUUUAGUCGAGGGUGAAAGCCCGUGGCUCAACCACGGAAUGGCCUUCGAUACUGGUUGGCUUGAGACCGGAAGAGGACAGCGGAACUGCGAGUGUAGAGGUGAAAUUCGUAGAUAUUCGCAAGAACACCAGUGGCGAAGGCGGCUGUCUUGGUUCCGGUUCUGACGCUGAGGCGCGAAAGCGUGGGGAGCAAAACA